CUACGGCCAUACUACCCUGAACGCGCCCGAUCUCGUCUGAUCUGGGAAGGUAAGCAGGGUCGGGCCCGGUUAGUACUUGGAUAUGAGGAAAGUAUGGUUUCUAAUGCAAAAUAUUCAUGUAUUCAGGCAGGGGUGG
Molecule: ribosomal RNA, 136 nt
Filed under: Chinchilla lanigera (long-tailed chinchilla)
Lineage: Eukaryota; Metazoa; Chordata; Mammalia; Rodentia; Chinchillidae
Source: RNAcentral